Molecule: unclassified non-coding RNA, 254 nt
Filed under: uncultured Blastocatellia bacterium
Lineage: Bacteria; Pseudomonadati; Acidobacteriota; Blastocatellia
Description: contains 16S-23S intergenic spacer region
Rfam family: Bacterial small subunit ribosomal RNA
Source: RNAcentral
UACGGGGGGAGCAAGCGUUGUUCGGAUUUACUGGGCGUAAAGGGCGCGUAGGCGGCCAUCGCAAGUCAGUUGUGAAAUCUCCGAGCUUAACUCGGAAAGGUCAACUGAUACUGCGAGGCUAGAGUGCAGAAGGGGCAACUGGAAUUCUCGGUGUAGCGGUGAAAUGCGUAGAUAUCGAGAGGAACACCGGUGGCGAAGGCGGGUUGCUGGGCUGACACUGACGCUGAGGCGCGAAAGCUAGGGGAGCGAACGGG